UACGGAGGGAGCUAGCGUUGUUCGGAAUUACUGGGCGUAAAGCGCGCGUAGGCGGCUUUGUAAGUUAGAGGUGAAAGCCCGGGGCUCAACUCCGGAACUGCCUUUAAGACUGCAUCGCUUGAAUCCGGGAGAGGUGAGUGGAAUUCCGAGUGUAGAGGUGAAAUUCGUAGAUAUUCGGAAGAACACCAGUGGCGAAGGCGGCUCACUGGACCGGUAUUGACGCUGAGGUGCGAAAGCGUGGGGAGCGAACAGG
RNAcentral lists this ribosomal RNA (253 nucleotides) under uncultured bacterium. Its description in RNAcentral is "partial 16S ribosomal RNA". It matches the Rfam family "Bacterial small subunit ribosomal RNA", at positions 524 to 776 of the family's 1533-position model. The record is from RNAcentral.